GUAUGAUAGCGGUAACAACAUCAAAUACUUUUUAGGAAGUCUGCAGAGGUCAUAGUACUUUUAAAAAAAGCAUUGAAAAAUGCAAAUAUUAAAGGAAGGAC
Non-coding RNA from Candidatus Pacebacteria bacterium CG1_02_43_31, 101 nucleotides. The record is from Rfam. NCBI's taxonomy places the organism in Bacteria, Bacillati, Minisyncoccota.